CUUUUGGAGAGUUUGAUCCUGGCUCAGAGUGAACGCUGGCGGCGUGGAUUAGGCAUGCAAGUCGAGCGAUCUCGCAAGAGAUAGCGGCAAACGGGUUAGGAACACGUAGAUAAUCUUCCUUAUAUCCUGACAUAGCCCUAUGAAAAUAGGGGUAAUAUCAGAUGGUAUCCAGAAAGGACAUCCUUUUAGGAUUAAAGUAGGGGACCGCAAGGCCUUACGAUAUAAGA
This 227-nucleotide ribosomal RNA is filed under the name Candidatus Omnitrophota bacterium. RNAcentral's name for it is "Candidatus Omnitrophica bacterium (sediment metagenome) partial 16S ribosomal RNA". It matches the Rfam family "Bacterial small subunit ribosomal RNA", at positions 1 to 225 of the family's 1533-position model. The record is from RNAcentral. Lineage: Bacteria; Pseudomonadati; Candidatus Omnitrophota.